This 67-nucleotide transfer RNA is filed under the name Microcotyle sebastis. Its description in RNAcentral is "tRNA-Ser". Lineage: Eukaryota; Metazoa; Platyhelminthes; Monogenea; Mazocraeidea; Microcotylidae. The record is from RNAcentral.
GCGAUAGAGUGUCUAUUCAAGUUAGAUUUGAAAUCUAACUAAUCAUAAGUAAUUUAUGACUAUUGUU